Molecule: non-coding RNA, 197 nt
Filed under: Anaerofilum hominis
Lineage: Bacteria; Bacillati; Bacillota; Clostridia; Eubacteriales; Oscillospiraceae
Description: 6S RNA
Rfam family: 6S / SsrS RNA
About the family: E. coli 6S RNA was the first non coding RNA to be sequenced, but its function was unknown until recently. It consists of 184 nucleotides that fold into an extended hairpin structure with a large single-stranded internal bulge. The 6S RNA specifically associates with RNA polymerase holoenzyme containing the sigma70 specificity factor.
Source: RNAcentral
AAGCCCCUGCGCUGUGCGAUUUGUUGCAGCCUUUUAUAAUCCGACAAGUUAAGUUAAAAGGGAGCUUUUGUCCGGCGGCGGAUUGCAGACCUCCCUGCGUUGCAGGAAGAAGGGAGCGUGAACCCGCAGGCGGGGCACCCACCUGUCAUAUUGAGAGACGGGUUUUAACUUGGCCGCAGACGGCAGGGCAGGGCUUU